AGUGAACGCUGGCGGUAGGCCUAACACAUGCAAGUCGAACGGCAUCACAUUAAGAGCUUGCUCUUACGGGUGGCGAGUGGCGGACGGGUGAGGAAUACAUCGGAAUCUACUUUUUCGUGGGGGGUAACGUAUGGAAACUUACGCUAAUACCUCAUACGACCUACUGGUGUAAGCAGGGUAUCUUCGGACCUUGCGCGAUUGUAUGAGCCGAUGUCGGAUUAGCUAGUUGGCGGGGUAAAGGCCCACCAAGGCGACGAUCCGUAGCUGGUCUGAGAGGAUGAUCAGCAAAACUGGAACGGAGAAACGGUCAAGACUCCUACGGGAGGAAGAAGUGGGGAAUAUUGGAAAAAGGGGGCAAGCCUGAUCCAGAAAUACCGCGUGGGUGAAGAAGGCCUUCGGGUUGUAAAGCCUUUUUGUUGGGAAAGAAAAGCAGCAGGUUAAUAACCCGAUGUUCUGACGGUACCCAAAGAAUAAGCACCGGCUAACUUCGUG
This 492-nucleotide ribosomal RNA is filed under the name uncultured bacterium. RNAcentral's name for it is "partial 16S ribosomal RNA". It matches the Rfam family "Bacterial small subunit ribosomal RNA", at positions 29 to 507 of the family's 1533-position model. The record is from RNAcentral.